Molecule: long non-coding RNA, 1712 nt
Organism: Magallana angulata
Lineage: Eukaryota; Metazoa; Mollusca; Bivalvia; Ostreida; Ostreidae
Exons: 3
Source: RefSeq, a predicted model, not a curated record
CUAAUACCAUUAUUCAUGGAAGUAUUGGAGCUUCGUAUACCGCGGUAACCCAUUGCCUUACCCAGUGUCACUGAAUUCAGGCACUCAGACUAAGUCUAGCGGAGAUUGAGGAAACACCGUGGCACGGCUGAUCUCACGAAAUGACGUGCAAGAACUUGGUCUCUUGGUUAACUAUCAUGUUUGCGAUUGUUCUAGUGACGGAAGGGAAUUGGUACGGGAAAAGAGACGAUGACGCAGAAAACAUUUUUCUUCGAUACCUAGAACAAACAAAACUGCCACAAAGGCAAAACACAGACGACAGACUGAAGACGUUGUUGUUAAGAACAUUAAUCGGAAAAUUAAAUGUCCACCAAUCAGAAGAGGAACUUGAAAAACCGAAGACGAGGUUCUAAAGAAUGGUGACAGAUCUGUUGCCGCACUUGCUGAGAAGAAAGAUGGCAAAUAUUCAACUUUCUACAAAUGAAAACUUUCAUAAUUCUUAGAGGAAAUGUAUCACAUGCACGUACUAAAUAUAUUUAUUUUAAUGACAAUUUCUUAGUAAUUCAAAUAAGCAUGCAUACGAAGUACAUGUAUGUUUGCUUCUCAACGAUAAAAUUGCAUUUCAUUAUCAUACGCAUGGAAUGUACAUAAUCAUGUUAAAAUUGUUCAUCAGUUAUGUAAUUUUAUGUAACUUGAUUCGAUAAUCAUGCUAUUGAAAAAACAAACUGCAUUAUAGAAGAAAACACUUUACAUAGGACGGAUAAGAAUCUGAAGCUGUACUUGAAAUGUAUUGACACAAAUUGGUGCAUGCGUACCAAAAUGCCUCUCAAAUUAGAUCGAGAACUCAAUGUUUAUUUUCUAAGAAUGGGUGUUUGCUCCAUAUUUUUGUUAUGGUUUAAUGAAAGAACUAAUUUGAAUAUACAAAAAACUUUUAGUGAUACCCUACCUUAAAUUAAAAAUAUAUUAUUUAAAGACAGCAUUCUGAACAUUUAAUAAAAAUGAUAGAAGUAUAUUUUAUAAAAUCUAAAUAUCCACAAUAUGUUGGAGAGGAGUAAAUCGAAAUCGAAAUAAUCCAAUUAUAAAAAUUUGCGCCAUUUUAUAAGCCCUUGUUUUUAAAAAAAACAUAGUCACCUUUCAAAAUGUAGUAUCGUAAUAUUUUUAUACAAUUUGUAUGAAAUAUUGUUUUUCCUGCUUUUUUGAGAUGUACAUUUUUUAAAAAAUCAUUGAGAACAUUUUGUAUUCUCAUAAACAAAGGACACAAAGUCAUUAGUCUAAUGUAUUGAUGCUAAAGAUAUGUUCGAUGUGUAUCGCCGACUAAUUAAUCAAAGGAUGGCCAGAAAGUUGAUAGUCUAAUGCCCAUGGCUCAGAUGUCUGUAAGGGCGACAAGAUGAUGUCAAUUCCAAAUUAAUCUGAUAUAAAUAAGGGCAACUGAGAUAGUGAUCACGGAACCAUGUCUUCAUGAGUAAUAUAUAAGACCAGUGAACAGAUGAUGUAUGAUUCAUUACAUGGAGGGAGGUAAAAAAAAAUCCUUGCUACAUCCAAUGAUUUGUAAAUACUGUAUGUCCAGUUUUACUUAAAAUCACAUAAAAAUGAUAUGAUAUUGUCUCUAGCUAUUGUUCAAAAUUUGCUUUUAUAUUUUUUUGUCUGGUAAAAUAUAUCUAUUUAAUUCAGUAUUUGAUGCAUUAAAUAUAUGUCUUUAUUAAUUAUUCAAUAAAAAAUCAUGAAUAAUCAUA